Molecule: long non-coding RNA, 2635 nt
Filed under: Homo sapiens (human)
Lineage: Eukaryota; Metazoa; Chordata; Mammalia; Primates; Hominidae
Description: non-protein coding lnc-GPR27-6:1
Source: RNAcentral
CAAGCCUAGGACAGCCCCAAUCAGAUGAAGAGCUCAGACGGUUCAUCCUGGCUGCAGGGUGGAGAUGGAUUGAAAUUAGCAAAUCUGAAAGUGUGUCUGUCACCCUGUGGCCUGGUCUAAGGGAGUAAGAAUGAGGAUGAAGCCAGGUGGAUAGAUCUAAGCAAUAUUAAGGAAGUCAGUUUCACUGUAUUUUGUAAUUAAGAAGAUGAGAAGCGUGAGGGAGAGGAUGGCACCUGCUUUCUGGCUUAGGCAGCUGAGGAGUAGAUGGUGGUGCCACUUUCUGUGAUGGGGAAUGGUUGAGUGGGGUGCGUGGAGACUAAGUGGGAUGCUGAGCUCAGUGUUGAACUAAUUGAAUGUCAGAAGCCCAAGGCACAUCCAAGGAGAAGUGUCCUAAGGCAGUUGGUGGCACUAGUCUGGAGUUUGGGAGCAAUGCCUCAGCUGGAGACAGUUUUUGAGUCACUGGAGUAUAUGUGGGUAAUGCAGCAGGCAUGAGGGAUGCAUAAGAUGCCUGAAGGCGAAUAUUUUAAAAAGAAGAGAAAAGGGUAGAGGACCCAGCCCUCCUGGGCUCCUCAGUGUGAAUGCAUAAUUAGUACACUACCAGAUGAAGGGAAGAUUCCAGAAGAUGCAGAGAAAGCACGGCCAGAGGUGACCCCAGGGCAGGAGCAAUAUUUUGGUGAGUGAGCAACAGUGAGAGAUGUGCAAAGGAGUCAACUUAGGAAAAGCGUGAGAGAUGUUCAAUGAACUUAGACAUGAGGAGGUCUUUGGUUUCCUCAGGAAGGGCAGCAUCAGUAGCGUGGUGGAAUUUGGGGUGAGUGGAAGCAAAAUGUAGAUAAACCAUUAAUCUUUUAUGUAGGGAUUACUUAUAAUUCAAAGCAGUUACUGUAAUUCAGAAUGAUACAAAGGUAAAUAAAUUAUAGAGCAAGUAAGCAUUCCAGUAGGUUUUAACCCCUUAUCCUGCUUUACAUUUCUGCAUAGCGUAUUUGACAACUUGAAGUGAUUGUAUUUGUGCCACUGGUUGCUGUCUGCCUCUCCUAUAGAAGGAAGAACCAAUCCCAGCACUUUGGGAGGCUGAGGUAGGUGGAUCACAAGGCCAAGAGAUCAAGACCAUCCUGGCCAAAAUGGUGAAACCUUGUCUCUACUAAAAAUACAAAAAUUAGCUGGGCGUAGUGGUGCGGGCCUGUAGUCUCAGCUAUCCAGGAGGCUGAGGCAGGAGAAUCGCUUGAACCUGGGAGGCGGAGGUUGCAGUGAGCCGAGAUCGCACCACUGCACUCUGGCCUGGCAACAGAGCAAGACUCCAUCUUAAAAAAAAAAAAAAAAAAAGGAAGAGAAGCAUGAAGGCUGCAGCUUUGUCUUGUUCACUCCUGCAGCCGCAGUGCUUGGCCCAAAGUGGCCAAAAUGUUGGUUGAAUAAAUGAUAGAGAGAAUCUGAUGAAAAUACAUAAAUUAAAAAAGAAAUCAUAAUUUGAGCUAUAUAUGUACAGGCUAUUUACAAAAUAAUUAUAGAUAAAUGUUCAAAUGAAAAAGAGGAAGCUGUGAAGAUGACUGUAGGACAUCUCUUGUUUUCAGCCUCCCAGAUCUUCUGGUAAUUUAAGUGGAAAUUGAUAAUACUAAAAGAUUGUCAUGAAUUUCAAAAAGGCUUUUCUAAUCUACAACUCCCCUGUAGACUUUUAUAAAGAGAUUUCUGUAUAAAGAUUUUGACUUUUAUAAAGAGAUUUUUGUUACCAAUUAGAUGCUAGACUGGAAAGUAAUCAACUUAGGGAAAAAUAUAUAAAUAUAAAUGUGUAUGUGUGUAUUUUUUUUCAUGAUUUUAAUCAACUAAGAGAAGUAGAGUUUUUACACUAAUUUUGAAGGUUGCAUAUUUAGAAUCUUGCAUUUUAUUAAAGGCAAUAUCAUAAUACUUAACAUCUAUGCCAGAGACCUGCUUGGUUAUAUUAUAUGAAGAGAGGCAUGCUUUUUAUGGAAUCAUUUCUAAGGAAGUGGACAUUGAAAUGACAAUUCCAAGAAAAAUGCUUUCCUUUGUCUAAUUUGUUUUUACCCCUUCUUUACAGGUUUUUUAUGUUACCAUGCUUUAGCAGAAGUCAAUUAAUCAUAUAUUUUAAAUAAAAUGUUUCAUAAUUUACCAAGACCAAUUCUGUCAGUAGCACAGUAUGCUAGAUGUGUAUUCAAUUUAGAUGAUGGUGAAUCCUGAUCUCUAAACCCUGUGGUUUCAGUGAUAAGGAUGGAGUGUGCAAACAUGGAACAUGGAACAUCUUCUUAAAAAGUUAAGGGACAGUCUUCUUCAUGAUUUCAGUGGAAGUUAAGAUGGAAAGGGUACCACUUAAAGUAUCUUAACAGUGGAAGGAGAAAAGCAAAAUUCACAGCAUCAGAAACGUUCAGGGAAAUUCAUUUGUCCUUGAAUAAGUUUCACAAAUAUAGAUGUGAAAUGGUUAAGAAGCAACAUUCCAGUUUUGGGUAAGUUAGGCUGCAGAAACAAAUAUAACCCCAAGUCUUAAUGGCUUUCAACCACAGAAGUUUAUUUUUAGUUCUUAUUAUAUGCCUGAACUGGCUUUAGAAUUUCACCUCAGUAUGACAGAGUAGAUUUCUAAGAGCCUGGCCUGUUCGCAGGCAACAGCUCUGAACUCCAAACAAAAUACUCU